AGAAAGAAAGAUCAGAAUUCAAAAGUAAAAUCUUCUUGAAAUGGCUUUUGGUGUCAAUCAUCCAUUUCUCUUGGGAAUUUUAUUUGUUGCUACUUUUGUACUAACACCAGGGCCAGCUACAGGAUUUAUAGAUCCAGGCCUUAAUUGCAUCGGGCAAUGCCCUAUACCGUGCGAUCAAAAAUGCACUCAUGACUGCAACGACGGUUGCACUGGCAGGGGGUUUAAGAGUGGAUUUUGUAUUACACAAGCUUCUCUUAGUCUAUGUUGUUGUAAGUGAUUGAGUUAUGUUUUACCCAGCAGUGGUUAUUUUAUAAAACUUCAAUGAAAUGUGUGCUUGAACUAA
This is a long non-coding RNA of Glycine soja, 343 nucleotides long. RefSeq lists it as uncharacterized. Lineage: Eukaryota; Viridiplantae; Streptophyta; Magnoliopsida; Fabales; Fabaceae. The record is from RefSeq and is a predicted model, not a curated record. The transcript has 2 exons.